This 274-nucleotide ribosomal RNA is filed under the name uncultured bacterium. RNAcentral describes it as "partial 16S ribosomal RNA". It matches the Rfam family "Bacterial small subunit ribosomal RNA", at positions 523 to 796 of the family's 1533-position model. The record is from RNAcentral.
AUACGGAGGAUGCAAGCGUUAAUCGGAAUUACUGGGCGUAAAGCGUACGUAGGCGGUUCGUUAAGUUAGAUGUGAAAGCCCCGGGCUUAACCUGGGAACUGCAUUUAAAACUGGCGAACUAGAGUUGAGUAGAGGGGAGUGGAAUUUCAGGUGUAGCGGUGAAAUGCGUAGAGAUCUGAAGGAACACCAGUGGCGAAGGCGGCUCCCUGGACUCAAACUGACGCUGAGGUACGAAAGCGUGGGUAGCAAACGGGAUUAGAUACCCUAGUAGUCC